RNA transcript from Selaginella moellendorffii, 2370 nucleotides. It is a transcript of the gene named ABC transporter G family member 7, with no coding region annotated. NCBI's taxonomy places the organism in Eukaryota, Viridiplantae, Streptophyta, Lycopodiopsida, Selaginellales, Selaginellaceae. The transcript has 13 exons. The record is from RefSeq and is a predicted model, not a curated record.
AGGAGCUGCUUAGGUUUUUAUUCUUUGCCGCGAGGGAGUGGAGAGAGAAUUCUCCCCGAUGGCGGCAGCUGCUGCUCCGGCGAUCCCAGUGCUUGUGGCUGGAGGAGUAGCAGCUCUCGUCCUGAAAUUCUUCUCCAGGAGGCCACCAGCAGCGCCAGAAAUCCAGGGAGAAGCAUCCGAUGAUGGUAAAGAUGCUUCCUCCGCUCCAGAGGUUCCUCCGAUCACUCUCAGCUGGCACAAGAUCUGCUGCGCGCUCCAGGCCAAGGAUGGCAUCACGACGGUGAAGCGCCUGCUUAAGAAUCUGAGUGGAGAAGCGAAGGCAGGGAGGCUUCUGGCGAUCAUGGGGCCAUCUGGCUCUGGAAAGACGACCAUUCUUAACGUUCUAGCCGGGCAGCUCGCUGCAUCGCCUCGACUCAAGCUUACGGGGCUGCUCUUCGUCAAUGGAACUCCCUGCGUUUCUACGUCUUACAAGGUUGCAUAUGUCCGGCAAGAAGAUCUCUUCUUCUCUCAACUCACGGUUCGCGAGACACUCUCCCUUGCUGCUGAGCUUCAAUUGCCGGGAUCUAGCACUGCUGCGGAGAGGAGUCGCUACGUGGAUGACAUACUGCAACGCUUGGGGCUGGUGCGCUGUGCGGACACGCCCGUGGGUGAUGCCAAAGUGAGAGGCAUCAGUGGUGGAGAGAAAAAGAGGCUGUCGAUAGCCUGCGAACUCAUUGCCAGUCCAUCUGUAAUUUUUGCCGACGAGCCAACUACAGGACUUGAUGCAUUUCAAGCAGAGCAAGUGAUGGAAACUCUCAAGAAACUUGCCCAAGAUGGUCAUACCGUUGUGUGUUCGAUUCAUCAGCCUCGUGGAUCAAUCUAUUCCAAGUUUGACGACCUCUUAUUGCUCUCGGAGGGAUCAGUCAUUUAUGCAGGCCCGGCACAAAAUGAAGCUCUAGCAUAUUUUGCAGGCCUCGGGCAUUCGUGUCCAGAACACGUAAAUCCGGCGGAAUUUUUUGCCGACCUCAUCUCGAUCGAUUAUAGCUCCCCGGAGAAAGAAUCGGCCUCAAGAAAACGCGUGGAAGCUUUUGUGGAAAUUUUUGCGACUACACUGUAUGCCACUCGAUCACUUUCUGGGACCGAGCCAGCUCCCGUAAAGCUUUCCACACAAUAUGUUACACAGCAGAAGGUUGGGUGGUGGAAGCAGUUCAGGCUGCUCUUUAGACGAGCCUGGCUGCAGGCAAUACGCGAUGGCCCGACAAACAAAGUGCGAAGUAGGAUGUCCGUUGCAGCUGCCAUGAUCUUUGGCUCGAUCUACUGGAGAAUGGGGCGUUCCCAGACGUCAAUUCAAGAUCGUAUGGGUCUCCUUCAGGUUGCAGCUGUGAACACUGCAAUGGCUGCACUGACCAAGACUGUUAAUGUCUUUCCUAAGGAACGUGCUAUCGUUGAUAGAGAGAGAGCCAAGGGAAGCUACGGUUUGGCACCUUACUUGGCUGCGAAGCUCAUAGCGGAGAUGCCAAUUGGUGCUGCCUUUCCUCUCCUCUUUGGUGCCAUUCUCUAUCCAAUGGCUCGGCUCCAUCCAUCAGCAAAGAGGUUUGGUAGUUUCUCAAGCAUUGUGACUGUGGAGUCUUUCACGGCGUCGGCUAUGGGAUUGUGUGUGGGAGCCAUGGUUCCCACUACGGAGGCAGCAAUGGCACUGGGACCAUCGCUCAUGACCGUGUUCAUCGUCUUUGGUGGCUACUACGUGAACUCGGAGAACGCUCCCGUCAUGUUCCGCUGGAUUCCGCGAGUGUCACUCAUAAGAUGGGCUUUCCAAGCACUGUGCAUAAACGAGUUUAAGGGAUUAAAGUUCGAGUGUGACAAACCGUAUGAUCUUCCCAACGGGGAACAGGCACUGGAAAGAUUGGGAUUCGGUGACAGCACCAUAAACAAGGCAAUGGUGGAAGAAGGCCGAAUUCUCCUCUUUUGGUACACAAUGACAUACGCAUUGAUGAGGAAGAACAAGCCUCGGUACCAACGUAUUGUAGCACCAGAUGAGAGCUCAUAACACCCGAAUAUAAAGUACUCAACUCAGCAUCGAGGAGAGUCCUGCAGCGAUCGCCUCCUUGCCAGCCACGUCAAAUGGCUCGUCACCAAUGUAGAGAUCAAACAGGCAGCGGCACAGGAGUUCGCUCUUGACACUCCCGACCUCCUGGCCAUCGACUGAGAAGGAAGAACAGAAAAUGGACGUGACCGGGGAGUCGGACCAUGUCGAUGGCUGUCCCCUUUGGCAGCUUGAUAUCCUCCUUGAAGAGCUGAGUGAAACUGUGGAGGAGCAAAGAGAAGAGAUCGAGUGCUAGGAAACGAGAGAAGCAACUUAUCAAGCCAAACCUCUGGAGGAGUUGUUUGUUC